CCUACGGGAGGCAGCAGUGGGGAAUUUUGGACAAUGGGGGCAACCCUGAUCCAGCAAUGCCGCGUGAGUGAAGAAGGCCUUCGGGUUGUAAAGCUCUUUUGUCAGGGAAGAAAAGGACUGGGUUAAUACCCUGGUUUUAUGACGGUACCUGAAGAAUAAGCACCGGCUAACUACGUGCCAGCAGCCGCGGUAAUACGUAGGGUGCGAGCGUUAAUCGGAAUUACUGGGCGUAAAGCGUGCGCAGGCGGUUGUGUAAGACAGAUGUGAAAUGCCCGGGCUUAACCUGGGAAUUGCAUUUGUGACUGCACGGCUAGAGUGUGUCAGAGGGGGGUAGAAUUCCACGUGUAGCAGUGAAAUGCGUAGAUAUGUGGAGGAAUACCGAUGGCGAAGGCAGCCCCCUGGGAUAACACUGACGCUCAUGCAC
RNAcentral lists this ribosomal RNA (424 nucleotides) under uncultured Bacteroides sp. RNAcentral's name for it is "bacterial SSU rRNA". It matches the Rfam family "Bacterial small subunit ribosomal RNA", at positions 338 to 754 of the family's 1533-position model. The record is from RNAcentral. Lineage: Bacteria; Pseudomonadati; Bacteroidota; Bacteroidia; Bacteroidales; Bacteroidaceae.